Molecule: transfer RNA, 73 nt
Filed under: Stegodyphus mimosarum
Lineage: Eukaryota; Metazoa; Arthropoda; Arachnida; Araneae; Eresidae
Rfam family: tRNA
About the family: Transfer RNA (tRNA) molecules are approximately 80 nucleotides in length. Their secondary structure includes four short double-helical elements and three loops (D, anti-codon, and T loops).
Source: Rfam by way of RNAcentral
GCCUUCGUGGUGUAAUGGUCAGUACACUCGGCGCGUAUUCGAGAGAUCUGAGGUUCGAGUCCCGGCGAGGGCA